This 253-nucleotide ribosomal RNA is filed under the name uncultured bacterium. Its description in RNAcentral is "partial 16S ribosomal RNA". It matches the Rfam family "Bacterial small subunit ribosomal RNA", at positions 524 to 776 of the family's 1533-position model. The record is from RNAcentral.
GACGGAGGUGGCGAGCGUUGCUCGGAAUCAUUGGGUGUAAAGGGCAGGUAGGCGGUCCCGCAAGUCGGGCGUGAAAACCUUUGGCUCAACCAAAGGACGUCGUCCGAAACUGCAGGACUUGAGGACGGUAGAGGUGCAGGGAAUUCCCGGUGUAAGGGUGAAAUCUGUAGAUAUCGGGAGGAACACCAGUGGCGAAGGCGCUGCACUGGGCCGUCCCUGACGCUGAGAUGCGAAAGCGUGGGGAGCAAACAGG